Molecule: ribosomal RNA, 440 nt
Filed under: uncultured bacterium
Lineage: Bacteria
Description: bacterial SSU rRNA
Rfam family: Bacterial small subunit ribosomal RNA
Source: RNAcentral
CCUACGGGCGGCACCAGUGGGGAAUAUUGGACAAUGGGCGAAAGCCUGAUCCAGCAAUGCCGCGUGAGUGAUGAAGGCCUUAGGGUUGUAAAGCUCUUUUACCCGGGAUGAUAAUGACAGUACCGGGAGAAUAAGCUCCGGCUAACUCCGUGCCAGCAGCCGCGGUAAUACGGAGGGAGCUAGCGUUGUUCGGAAUUACUGGGUGUAAAGCGCGCGUAGGCGGUUAUUCAAGUCAGAGAUGAAAGCCCGGGGCUCAACCCCGGAACUGCCUUUGAAACUAGAUAACUAGAAUCUUGGAGAGGUCAGUGGAAUUCCGAGUGUAGAGGAGAAAUUCGUAGAUAUUCGGAAGAACACCAGUGGCGAAGGCGACUGACUGGACAAGUAUUGACGCUGAGGUGCGAAAGCGUGGGGAGCAAACAGGAUUAGAUACCCCAGUAGUC